GCCAGUGUGAAGGGAAUUUGGCAUACCUAUCUCACUUAAAAUGAGAUGCCUAUGGGUUCGACUCCCAUCGCUGGCA
This 76-nucleotide transfer RNA is filed under the name Candidatus Zixiibacteriota bacterium. Its description in RNAcentral is "tRNA-Leu". It matches the Rfam family "tRNA". From Rfam's summary of the family: Transfer RNA (tRNA) molecules are approximately 80 nucleotides in length. Their secondary structure includes four short double-helical elements and three loops (D, anti-codon, and T loops). The record is from RNAcentral. Lineage: Bacteria; Pseudomonadati; Candidatus Zixiibacteriota.